Long non-coding RNA from Zophobas morio, 311 nucleotides. RefSeq lists it as uncharacterized. The record is from RefSeq and is a predicted model, not a curated record. The transcript is spliced from 3 exons. Lineage: Eukaryota; Metazoa; Arthropoda; Insecta; Coleoptera; Tenebrionidae.
CUAUACUAUAGUACAUCAAAGCAACGUUGAUCUCAUCUUUUACGUUGUUGGUUUAGAAUCUGAAAAUGAAUUACUUUUGAAAAAUGUUCUUAUGACCUUUUAUGAUGCCGUUUCCCUGAUUCUUAGACAAGAGGUUGAAAAAAAGAAUGUGAUGGAGCGUUUAAGUUCCAUUUAUUUAAUUGUCGAUGAACUUGUGGAUAAUGGAAUUAUUAUGGGGUGCGAUAGCGGACUACUCGCCUCCAAUUGUGAUAUUGGAGGCAUUACUUCAAGUCUUAGUGAAGAUCUUUCUACUGCCGAACAAAAAUUAGCGC